This 422-nucleotide ribosomal RNA is filed under the name uncultured archaeon. Its description in RNAcentral is "partial 16S ribosomal RNA". It matches the Rfam family "Archaeal small subunit ribosomal RNA", at positions 323 to 746 of the family's 1478-position model. The record is from RNAcentral.
CUACGGGUCGCUGCAGUUAGGAAUAAUCUACAAUGCGCGAAAGCGUGAUAGUUUGAGCCAGAGUGCUUUUCAAUUGAAAAGCUUUUGCCAAAUGUAAAAAGUUUGGCGAAUAAGGACUGGGUAAGACGAGUGCCAGCCGCCGCGGUAAUACUCGCGGUCCAAGUCGCAGCCAUUUUUAUUGGGUCUAAAACAUCCGUAGCUUGCUUAGUAAGUCCCUUGUGAAAUUUGGUAUCUUAAAUACACAAACGUGCAAGGGGUACUGCUGAGCUAGAGAUUGGGAGACGUAAGAAGUACGUUUAAAGUAGCGGUAAUAUGUGUUAAUCUUAAACGGACUCACAACAGCGAAGGCAUCUUACGAGAACAGUUCUGACAGUCAGGGAUGAAGGCUAGGGGCGCAAAACGGAUUAGAUACCCCUGUAGUC